RNAcentral lists this microRNA (22 nucleotides) under Magallana gigas (Pacific oyster). RNAcentral describes it as "Mgi-Mir-190_3p* (star (passenger))". The record is from RNAcentral. Lineage: Eukaryota; Metazoa; Mollusca; Bivalvia; Ostreida; Ostreidae.
CCAAAUAUCAGACAUGUCAACA